This 214-nucleotide non-coding RNA is filed under the name Weissella cibaria. RNAcentral describes it as "T-box sequence". It matches the Rfam family "T-box leader". From Rfam's summary of the family: Uncharged tRNA acts as the effector for transcription antitermination of genes in the T-box leader family. T-boxes are found upstream of many aminoacyl-tRNA synthetase genes and some amino acid biosynthetic genes usually in Gram-positive bacteria. The record is from RNAcentral. Lineage: Bacteria; Bacillati; Bacillota; Bacilli; Lactobacillales; Lactobacillaceae.
UUUAUAGCAAUUCACUAAAAAGUAAGUUAAACGGCGAUUGUUCAGCGAGUGCGCGGGUGAUGAGAAGUGCAUCAAUCAGUUUAAGUGAAAGUAGUUAGUGGGCCGCACCGGUGAACGUGAGUAGUCGAUGCCGUGAGAAACGCGUUAAGUUCUAACGAGAUAGCGGGAGAAGUCCCGUUAAAUCAGGUGGUACCGCGAUUAAGUCGCCCUGAUC